UACGUAGGGUGCAAGCGUUAAUCGGAAUUACUGGGCGUAAAGCGUGCGCAGGCGGUGAUGUAAGACAGUUGUGAAAUCCCCGGGCUCAACCUGGGAACUGCAUCUGUGACUGCAUUGCUGGAGUGCGGCAGAGGGGGAUGGAAUUCCGCGUGUAGCAGUGAAAUGCGUAGAUAUGCGGAGGAACACCGAUGGCGAAGGCAAUCCCCUGGGCCUGCACUGACGCUCAUGCACGAAAGCGUGGGGAGCAAACAGG
RNAcentral lists this ribosomal RNA (253 nucleotides) under uncultured bacterium. RNAcentral's name for it is "partial 16S ribosomal RNA". It matches the Rfam family "Bacterial small subunit ribosomal RNA", at positions 524 to 776 of the family's 1533-position model. The record is from RNAcentral.